AAAUUGAAGAGUUUGAUCAUGGCUCAGAUUGAACGCUGGCGGCAGGCCUAACACAUGCAAGUCGAACGGUAGCACAGAGAGCUUGCUCUCGGGUGACGAGUGGCGGACGGGUGAGUAAUGUC
RNAcentral lists this ribosomal RNA (122 nucleotides) under Enterobacter cloacae. RNAcentral's name for it is "partial 16S ribosomal RNA". It matches the Rfam family "Bacterial small subunit ribosomal RNA", at positions 1 to 117 of the family's 1533-position model. RNAcentral also lists the same sequence under 6 other names. The record is from RNAcentral. Lineage: Bacteria; Pseudomonadati; Pseudomonadota; Gammaproteobacteria; Enterobacterales; Enterobacteriaceae.